Long non-coding RNA from Haliotis rufescens (red abalone), 353 nucleotides. RefSeq lists it as uncharacterized. The transcript has 3 exons. NCBI's taxonomy places the organism in Eukaryota, Metazoa, Mollusca, Gastropoda, Lepetellida, Haliotidae. The record is from RefSeq and is a predicted model, not a curated record.
AGUUGAGGCAACUGGAGAAGGUAUUCGUGUCCUCUCAGUAUCCUGACAGCUCCAUCUUGGAGGAUCUCUCCAACACCAUCAACAUCGACGUAGAGAGACUAUCGAUCUGGUUCCAGAACCGCCGUUCCAAGUUCAAGCGUCAGUCUAAAGGUGCUCACGUGAACUGGAUGAGACAGCAACUGUAUCAACAAGGAACGUCACGGUCACGUGACGUAACGGCUACGGACGAGUGUCACGUGCUCACACCACCAACGACUUCCAAGAAAGAUGACGUGAAAGACAAACCCAAAUCAAACCUCCACUACCUACCCAGCACUGGACCCGGCUGCUCCUCAGUGACGGACUACGACCCC